CAGUCGCCGCGGUAAUACAGAGGGUGCGAGCGUUAAUCGGAUUUACUGGGCGUAAAGCGUGCGUAGGCGGCUUUUUAAGUCGGAUGUGAAAUCCCUGAGCUCAACUUAGGAAUUGCAUUCGAUACUGGGAAGCUAGAGUAUGGGAGAGGAUGGUAGAAUUCCAGGUGUAGCGGUGAAAUGCGUAGAGAUCUGGAGGAAUACCGAUGGCCAAGGCAGCCAUCUGGCCUAAUACUGACGCUGAGGUACGAAAGCAUGGGGAGCAAACAGGAUUAGAUACCCCAGUAGCCCUGUCUCUUAUACA
Molecule: ribosomal RNA, 301 nt
Filed under: uncultured bacterium
Lineage: Bacteria
Description: partial 16S ribosomal RNA
Rfam family: Bacterial small subunit ribosomal RNA
Source: RNAcentral